RNAcentral lists this ribosomal RNA (466 nucleotides) under uncultured Oomycota. RNAcentral's name for it is "LSU rRNA". The stretch from base 1 to 83 matches the Rfam family "Bacterial large subunit ribosomal RNA", at positions 476 to 559 of the family's 2925-position model. Lineage: Eukaryota; Oomycota. The record is from RNAcentral.
GUGCGAGACCGAUAGCGAACAAGUACCGUGAGGAAAAGAUGAAAAGAACUUUGAAAAGAGAGUUAAAGAGUACCUGAAGCUGCUGAAAGGGAAGCGAAUCGUAUCCAGUGUCUAUAAUCUGCGGCAUAUUUCAUUGGCGGCGGUGCGCGUGCUUUUGCGUCGGAAGCGGCUUUUGUUGCUCUGUGUUUUUGCUGUGCGUGGUGUUGCUGGUGCCCUGUGUUGCGGUGGGACGUCAGAGUCAGUUUGUAUGCUGCGGGAAAUGGCUGCCGAGGAGGUAGGUCGAGAUUUCGGUCUUGGCUGUUAUAUCUUGGUGGUUUGUUGUCGUGGUUGAGACUGAGGUGCCUACAAUGUGCUUUUGAGUGUACCGGGUUCUCAUUUGGUGGACUGUUUGGAUAGCUUGCUAUGCUUGUGGUUUUUUCAUCGAGUGAUUGAGUCUGGUGGUAACUUGUUGCUGUUCGGGACUUUG